GGAUUGAACUUCUUUUUGGUGAGUUUGAUCUUCUUCAAUUUUUUGUGCUUGUUUUCAAUUUAAUUGUUAAGUAGUGUGAAAAUUUUGAAUCAAAAUCAAUGGUUCAUUUAAUUGUUAUUGAGGUCUAAAUGUGCUAUAGGAAUUACUUGGAAUUAAUUAGGAUUUGGUUAGGAUUUAGGAUUUGGUUUAUAAUUUGGUUUGGUUAAGAUUUAGGAUUUGGUUUAGAUUAAGGUUGAGUUAAGGUUUAGGAUUUGGUUUGGUUAAGGUUUAAGAUUUGGUUUAGAUUAGGAUUUGGUUAGGAUUAGGAUUUGGUAAGGACUUAUUUAAGAUUUGUCUAGGAUUUGUCUAGGAUUUGUCUAAGGUUUGUUUAAGAUUUGGUUAGGAUUUUUUUAAAAUUUGAUUAGGAUUCAAUAAGGUUUGAUUAAGAUUUGUUUAGAGUUUGUUUAGGAUUUGGUUAGGACUUAUUUAGGAUUUGUCUAAUCUUUGAUUAAGAUUUAUUUAGGACUUAUUUAGGAUUUGAUUAGGAUUUGGUUAAAAUUUUUUUGAACUUUGAUUAGGAUUUAUCUAAGAUUUGAUUAGAUUUUGACUAAUGUUUGAUUAGAUUUUGACUAAGAUUUAAUUAAGGUUUUUAUUUUAAUGUUUUAAUAAGAUUUCUAUUUUAAUAUUUUUUUUUUGAAUUUCUAUGAUAUUUUUUUAUGAUUUCUUAAAAAGAUCUAUAAGAAUU
RNAcentral lists this long non-coding RNA (724 nucleotides) under Physcomitrium patens. RNAcentral describes it as "long non-coding RNA (PPAT_LNC009050)". Lineage: Eukaryota; Viridiplantae; Streptophyta; Bryopsida; Funariales; Funariaceae. The record is from RNAcentral.